UUUUUUUUUUUGUGUACAAACUUCAGUUUGAAUGGGGCUCAUCAUGAUUUUUAACCACCCUACCUUCAACAUACAUAAAGAGAGAGAAGUGACCUGCUGUUCUCCAAAAUGGUCAAGGAGGCCAACAAUGUCGCCUACAAUGUGCAGAAGCGAGUAAGAACUAUGGUUGAUGGGAGCGUCGGAGUCGCCACAACCUCUGAGGUCAGGAGCGACGACGUGGUAACCACGGUCGGCCAAGAAGGUGAUUUGGUGACGCCAUGAAUACCAGAAAUCUGGGAAGCCAUGGAGGAGAAGAACCAGAGGGCCACUAAUUCCUUUCUCCACUACAUGUAACCAUAUCCCGUUUGUUUUUAUUCGCUGGUGAUUCACGUCGUCUUCUAUUCUCGCUUCCAUCUUGAUCGUCUGCUGAAUUUGGAUGCUGCAACUGCAAAGGUCGUGGCUUAAUUUUAUGAACAAAACAGAAAGGUCGCAGGGGAGGAAGCAAAGUCAAAAGGUUUUUGGUGAUGGGAAUAUCAACAAGAUGGAAGGAAGGAACACCUUUGACUACUGAAUAAGAUAAUCCGACCAAGGCGUCACAAUCCUGCCACAUGUCUUGUCUUCUUCAAGAUUCUUUGAAUGGAUAAGUUGAAAGAGUGUAAAAUAUUCCUAUAUAAUAAUCAAAUUGACCGACUGCAGAGUUUUUUAUUAAUUCUGUAAAGGGGGUGAUCAGGCUGAGGAACCUCGGUGGUUCGAUCACCACCAAACUAACUGCUUUAUCAACUAUCAUUAACAUUAAUCUUAUAAUAAUUAAAACCUAUUAAUUAGGAUGAUGGGGAUAUUUUUCUAUGGAGAUAUGACAAGUGGAAAAAAGAGACGGAAUAAUUUUGAAAUAGGCUUUCAAUUAUGAAAAUGUUGCAUUAAUCUGACCUGUUAGAUGAAAUUUACUAAAUUAAAUAGUUAAAAGUGAAGCAUAGUGUUUAUGGGUUUCUCUUUUUUUAGUGGGCAACUUCACUAGUUUAUUGUUGAACAACCUAUUUGGGGAGACGAUGAUAAGUACCUAGGAAAGUCAGGACCUUCGAAAUUAUGGUGCGACUCUUUCCACAAUGUAUGCCCCGAUCAGUUAUUCGGGAGAGAACCAACUCAACAUUAUCCUUGAUAUGUACCUACCAAAUAUCCUUUCGGAAACACCAAAUACAAGCAUCACAAACAAUAAGAGCUUCAAUACAUAGGGAUCAAGGAGGACUGAGUAUGUUCACCCCACCGCUUGUAAGAUCAUGAAAACCGCUAAUGGACCAUCUUAAACGGAACAAGCCCGUACAGAAAAAUCUGAGGCGACAAAAAAUUUAUAGGUUCAAAAUUCGAACCCAAAACCUUCAGUUUAGCAAUCACAUAACACUACUAACUGAAAUGAUAAGUUUCUUAAACAAAAAACUCAAGCCAUAAAAGAUUCUUAACAUAUAGAACUCAAAGAUUGUGGAUAUUGAUAAAAUGGAAUCUGAAACCGACGUCAUGACAGGUUUUUAUCGACGAGGCGACGACAAGCUCAACGGUCAGUCACGUGCCUAAAGCCGGCGCCGGUGUCGGGAAUAAUGUGAACGAAAUAAGUGCAAUGAAGACUGCUUCAAAGUUGAUGGAAUUUGGAAACUCAAAACUCAGGGACAGUGACGGUAAUAAUGUGAACGAAAUAAGUGCAAUGAAGACUUCAGAUUCGGACCUAAACUGCAACACCUUAGAAAGAGUGAGCUUACUUGGAUACACAGACUUGGUUUAUGAAGGAUGUGUUGUGCCACCAACCAUCAAAACAAUAAUGGCAAAGCAAACAUGAUGAUAGUAUCUUGCCAAUAAUUUUACUAAAAAAAGAGCAACAUCGUCCAUCUUCCUUUACACAAGCAGGCAUGUUUUGCCAUUUACACAGCAGGAGAUGCAUUCACCAUUCAAACUCAACGCUUUUGGUUUCAGAAACUCUUCUUCACCUUUCUCCUUCCUUCAGCAAAAGGUUUCCGCCAUCCAACAACAAUUAUUUGAAGCUAUGUUAAUGGACGGUCAUUGCGUUUCAUUUGGUUUUUAC
RNAcentral lists this long non-coding RNA (2047 nucleotides) under Linum usitatissimum (flax). RNAcentral describes it as "long non-coding RNA (LUSI_LNC004580)". The record is from RNAcentral. Lineage: Eukaryota; Viridiplantae; Streptophyta; Magnoliopsida; Malpighiales; Linaceae.